RNAcentral lists this ribosomal RNA (898 nucleotides) under uncultured Ascomycota. RNAcentral's name for it is "eukaryotic LSU rRNA". It matches the Rfam family "Eukaryotic large subunit ribosomal RNA", at positions 1 to 921 of the family's 3401-position model. Lineage: Eukaryota; Fungi; Ascomycota. The record is from RNAcentral.
AGGUUGACCUCGGAUCAGGUAGGGAUACCCGCUGAACUUAAGCAUAUCAAUAAGCGGAGGAAAAGAAACCAACAGGGAUUGCUCUAGUAACGGCGAGUGAAGCAGCAAUAGCUCAAAUUUGAAAUCUGGCGUCUUCGACGUCCGAGUUGUAAUUUGUAGAGGAUGCUUCUGAGUAACCACCGACCUAAGUUCCUUGGAACAGGACGUCAUAGAGGGUGAGAAUCCCGUAUGCGGUCGGAAAGGUGCUCUAUACGUAGCUCCUUCGACGAGUCGAGUUGUUUGGGAAUGCAGCUCUAAAUGGGAGGUAAAUUUCUUCUAAAGCUAAAUAUUGGCCAGAGACCGAUAGCGCACAAGUAGAGUGAUCGAAAGAUGAAAAGCACUUUGGAAAGAGAGUUAAAAAGCACGUGAAAUUGUUAAAAGGGAAGGGAUUGCAACCAGACUUGCUCGCGGUGUUCCGCCGGUCUUCUGACCGGUCUACUCGCCGCGUUGCAGGCCAGCAUCGUCUGGUGCCGCUGGAUAAGACUUGAGGAAUGUAGCUCCCUCGGGAGUGUUAUAGCCUCUUGUGAUGCAGCGAGCGCCGGGCGAGGUCCGCGCUUCGGCUAGGAUGCUGGCGUAAUGGUCGUAAUCCGCCCGUCUUGAAACACGGACCAAGGAGUCUAACAUCUAUGCGAGUGUUCGGGUGUCAAACCCCUACGCGUAAUGAAAGUGAACGGAGGUGAGAACCGCAAGGUGCAUCAUCGACCGAUCCUGAUGUCUUCGGAUGGAUUUGAGUAAGAGCAUAGCUGUUGGGACCCGAAAGAUGGUGAACUAUGCCUGAAUAGGGUGAAGCCAGAGGAAACUCUGGUGGAGGCUCGCAGCGGUUCUGACGUGCAAAUCGAUCGUCAAAUUUGGGUAUAGG